RNA transcript from Scylla paramamosain (green mud crab), 14580 nucleotides. It is a transcript of the gene named mitochondrial inner membrane protease subunit 1-like, with no coding region annotated. The record is from RefSeq and is a predicted model, not a curated record. NCBI's taxonomy places the organism in Eukaryota, Metazoa, Arthropoda, Malacostraca, Decapoda, Portunidae. The transcript has 6 exons.
UUCAUGUGGUCCUGACGCCAGCUGAGCGAGAUAAACAACACGCCGAGGGGUCAGAGGGAAGGGCAGCAACAGCAGGCCGAGCAGGAGCUGUGAAGGUGAAAGAACAGAAACCGAGGUGCACGAGGACAAGCGAAAAGCCCUGUGAUGAGAAAAAUUAUUUACGGAUGAAAGAGAUGCAAGGAAUGUAAUGCCAGGCAGAACAAGGAGGCAGUAAUGACCCACCACAUUAAGGAGCCAAGAAUGGUGGUGGUAACUGGUGAGCUGAGCUAAGGGAAGAAAUUCAGCGCGUCUAAGAGUCAUGAUCAGCACCACCACCCGCAUGUACAGCUACCUAGGCAGGUGGCUUGGGGUGGCUGGCUACAUGAUACAGUAUGGAUGCAUUGCCCACUGUACUCUUGAGUUUGUGGGUGACUUUGUUGUGUGUCGUGGACCCUCUAUGGAGCCAACAAUCUACUCUGAGGACGUAAUACUGACAGAACACAUUACUCCUCGUUUCAACCGCAUUAGUCGUGGAGAUGUAAUCAUUGCUCGCUCUCCUACCAACCCCCAUCACCACAUCUGCAAGCGUGUUACUGGUCUGGAAGGGGACAGAGUCAAGGAUGGAUUUAAGACACAUUAUGUUCCCAAAGGUCACGUGUGGCUGGAGGGAGACAACCAUAACAACUCAACUGACUCCCGUAACUUUGGCUCGGUACCAGCUGGGUUGAUCCGAGGGCGAGCAGUGUUCAGGGUGUGGCCGCUCUCUGACCUGGGUCUGCUGGACUCUUCCUACUCUUCUUCCUCCUCAGCCCAGAAGUGGGAGGUGGAUCAAUGAUGAAAUGUUCCAGUAGAGGAGAUUAUUAUUGCUCCCUUUUUCUAACCAUCCUGAUUUUCUCAACUGCUGUAACUUACAUGGGACUGGUGGGAUGAAGUCUGCGUGCCUGCCAGUACACACACACACACACACACACACACACACACAUACAAGUAUUGAUGUAUGGAACAGUCUGGAUGAGGAGAUAGUAAAUGCAGAAAGUAUACAUGGAUUCAAGGCUAAGUUGGAUAUUAAAAGAUAUGGAGAUGGGACAGCACGAGCAUAGCUCGGAUUCAAGGCUAAGUUGGAUAUUAAAAGAUAUGGAGAUGGGACAGCACGAGCAUAGCUCUUUUCCCAUAAAGCACAACUAGGUAAAUACAACUAGGUAAACACACGCACACACACACACACACACUUACACAUAAGAGAGUGGUACAUGUAAGAAAUGCUCAUGACUUUAAUACAUACAGACACAUGCUAUUUGGAGCUAUUUUUUUUUCCACUUCAAUGCUGAGCCUCCCUCCUCCCCCUCUUUUUUUUUUUUUUACUGUAUAAAUCAAUUGAAAAUUCUGUAAAAACUAAGGAGAAAAGUUAUAAUAACACUCAUCACGGCCUAUUUUUACCUUUAUGGGAGAUGCUUAUAGAGUGCAUUAUGGUGCAUCCUCCAGCCCAGCUGCCAACCUCCCCUCAUCUUGUAUGCCACUUUGACAUUGUAUUAUUCUUGCUUGAGUGUUGUUUGUAAGCAGUAUGAUUGCCUUUUUGACUACAUACAUGUACAACUGUGUGAGAUAUAUAAAGAUAACUAUACGGUGGUCUCCCACUCGUUACUAGUAUUAGGGGACAGCAACCACUAUGUUGAGCAGAAAUCUGCAAUAUUUUUCCAUCCCCCCUAAAGAGAUACAGAAAUUACAUUUCAACACCUUGCAACCUCCUAAAAAGAUCUGUAUUGGCCAGUAAAAUAAAUACUAAACAAUAAAUGCUAAACAACAACCAUUAGUGGCAGCAGGGGUGAUCAAGAGCUGGAGUCACGGGCUUCAUAACCUCUUUCAGCAAGCUCCUCUGUGAAACAAGUGAAAAAAGAAAGCAAGUGGCUAGAAGUAGAAGAGUAUGGUAAUGACAAUGAAAGACAGCAUCUUGCUUGACCAGUAAACAAGGAGAGAACAGGGUAGAGAGGAAGUAUGUCAGGCUAGAAAUCAAAGGAAGCACAAGGAAUGGGAUAUGCUGUUACUCAUACAUAAAAAGGUGUGUUGUGGUUUCCUUCAUGUAAGAUGAAAAUAGUGGUGGUGUCCCACUAACGAGAUUUGUCAGGUAUACUUCCCAGUGGUGCUGUGUGUGUGUGUGUGUGUGUGUUUGUGUGUGUGUGUGUGUGUGUGUGUGUGUGUGUGUGUGUGUGUGUGUGUGUGUGUGUGUGUAUGCUAUAUUAUUCUGUGUUUUAAUUUUUUUUCAUAUAUCCUUAAUUCAUUAAAUUGAUAGAUAUAAGCUUUUCCAUAAGAAAAAUCUUGGAAUGGAAAUGCACAAUCUUAUUUUGUAAUUAUUGUUGUUACUGCUGUGGCUGGAAUGAGGCAGUGGGCCAGUGGUGCAGUGUGCGAGUUUCAUCAGUGGAAGGGUAGUGCUGGUCUGUGGAAAGUUAGAGAAACGCAGAAGGGAGCGUGUUUGGUACUCGGCACCAAAAAAAUAAUAAAUAAUAAAUAAAAUAAAAAAAUCCAAAGCCAAUAACCAUGUAAAAAUAGGGGCUGCAUUGAUUGAACCAGUGAUGAGCAGGUGUCCACUAUGUGGACACUAUUUCUCUGUGUAAAUUUGUACCAUACUUUCACAAUUAUUCUUGUAUCUGAUGAUCUUACCGUCAUUUUCAUUAUUGUUUUGGUAAUAAUAUGUAAGAAACACAGAGUAUUUUUGAUAUAGGUUAUGAUGGGAUUUCAACUUCAGCCAGCUCAUCCUGAGUUGGUUCAUAGUCAUCCCCAGAUGACUCAGACUCACUGAGCUCAUAAUCAGAGUUCAGAAAUAUGUUCAGUGCCUCAAGGGCAGAAAGAGUGGAGUGGCAGCAGUCAGACAUGGCAUAAACAUUCCUGACUACUGACAAGGAUUCCAUCACCAUGGCACAUGGGUAGAGUGGGUGGGCAGUGAACACCUCUUGAAAUAUGGGUUUCUGCAGAGGGAAAUACUGCAGUGGUGUAAUGAACUUUUAUUUCGGGUGAAGGAGAUGAAGAUGAUAAAGAAGGAAGAACAAAGGAAAAGAAGAAGGAACAGAAGGAAGAAUAUGAAAGGAAAGAAGAGAAAGAAGGGAAAAAAAGAAAUGGAAGAAGGAAAAAAAUUAAGGAAGUAGAAAAAGAUGACAAAAAAAUAUACAGUGAUUGAACUAAUAAAUCUUGUUUUGUUGAUGAAAAGUAUCGCAGAAGAAAUAGUUUUUAAUCCAAACCCACCAGAUGCUCCUUUACCUGUAUAACUCAUAACUUGAAUAAUUUAAAUUUGUUACAUAUUUUCAAAUUACUGUUGACAUUUUAUAAGUUGUAACAAGUUUCUGCAGAUAUUGGUUUGAGGUGAAAGUACAAGUUAUUCUAAGAAAAUGUUCAAUGCUCUUAUGCAUUUUGAGGCCUUGUUUGGCCAUGGUAUAAAAUUCCAGUGUGACAGAUGAACAGAUGGAUGGCAUAUCUGCAUACUCCACAUUACUUAAGCAUAUGGCAUUGCUGAGUUUUUUUUUUUUUUUUUUUCAAAAUUGUCAGAACUAUUGUUCCAACAGGAUAAUUUAUCAUGGUGGCUAACAAUUUCAAUUUAGAUAUAAAGAUCCAGUCUCUAAAAGCCUGAUCAUAAUAUUACUAGCCUCAAACAAUUUAUGGCAAGAUGUAAAAGCUUACAUAAGUCUCUCACUGCACAUAAUAUCAAUAGAGAUGAAAUGUGUUUCAUAUUCCUCAUAAAUUACUUACUAUCCCCUGUAAAGGAAAUAUAAAAAGGGUGCUGAAGGAAAACAUGUUAAAUAUAGAGAAAGUUCUGGAUUGUUUGAGAAAUGAAGUAUUCACAAUUGAGAGUAGUACAUCAAUAGUUGAGAGUAAUGCAUCCAUAGCUAAGAUGGAAAUAGAACAUUAUGCAGAUAGAUUCAAUACAGGACUAAAGAGGGAAGAGAAGCUUAAAAUUCAAUGUAAAUUAUGCCACAGACAAAAUCAUCCAUGGUUCAAAUGCCACAAAUACAGAUCCUAAUUCAGAGGAUAAUGUAAUGGAUGUUUGGAACCUGAGCACUACAAUAAAGGUUGCACAAAUCCUAACAUAAAAAAAUGCAAAUUUUGCAAAAAGAAACACUGCCAUUCCCUUUGUUUAAAAUCUAAAUCAACAAAUCCCAAAGAAAGGACUAUCUUAACUACUACACUAAUAUUACUCCUUGUAGCAAAAGGAGGUAAGAACACUAAGUUAAGGGCCUUGUUAGACCAGUGUUCACAAAAAAAAUUUUGUCCUCAAGUCCUCUUUGGCCAUAAUAAAGUAUAAAUUGAUUGACAAAGAAACCCUAAUGCUACAGGUGAUCAGAUAAACAGGGAUUUUAUAAAGAAAGUGGAUAUGCAUAACAAUAACCAUCAUGCUCUUCACUAUUUAUCACAUCAUGGCAUGAAAAAAGAUAGCAUAACCACUCCAGUUAGAAUAGACUAUGAUUGUUCAGCUAAACAAUCCCCUAAUUCAUUAAGCCUCAAUGACUGCUUGUUAACAGGUCCAAGUCUAGUACCUGACUUAGCUCAGAUUCUACAAAGAUCCAGGCACCAAAAAUGUACCUUCAUGUCAGAUAUAAAAAACACAUCACUGAUGGUAGAUGAUGAAAAAGAUUGAGACUAUAUUAGAUUUCUGUGGCCAAGAGAUCCCUUAAAUCCUGUUUUCCCAUUUUACAUCUUUAGGUUCAAGGUUGUUUUGUUUGAAGCCACCUGUUCUCAGUAUCUACUUAAUGCCGCCAUUGCCCAUCACCUAACUGAUUUCCAAGAACAGGAGGACAGUAUUAAGAACAUAAAACAAGGAAUAUAUAUUGACAACCUACAGGGAACAAAUAAGCAUGAAGAGGAUCUAUUAGAACAAUACUGGCAGGUACAGAGAAUAAUUAAUAAGGCCCACCUGAUAUAAGAGAAUGGGUAACUAACAAUCCCAAACUACAAGAUCAACUUGAGAUAUACAAUGGUAUAUCUAAGAAACAAGACCAAGUUAAUCUGGAAACCAGGUACACAAACACACUUUCAAAAUCAGUGACUUUAAGGAUCCUGAUAAAAUAACAAAAAGAUCAUGCUUAAGUAUGGUGUCAAAACCAUUUGAUCCACAAGGCUUAUUGCUUUACGUAACAGUCAAGUCAAGAAUAUUUUUACAAGGCCUGUGGAAACUAAAAACAUCAUGGGAUCAGACUCUACCUGAUAAACUUUGUGAUCAACAGAAUCUACUUAACAAGGAACUCAAAACAGCAAACAAAACAGAAAUGCUUAGAACAACCAUAAUACAAGAGGAAACAGACUUGCAUAUUUUUAAUACCAGCAAUAAGAUAUGUGGAGUUUGUGCCUACAUAUGUAACAGUGGGUAAGGGAACUUGAUAAUAGGUAAAGCAAAGGUUGCCCCAUUAAAAAACCUCACCUUCCUUAAAUAGAACUAACUGCGGUCCUCUUAGCUGCUAGGCUAAUCACUUCAUCCAUGAAGCCUAUUAGGGUGUAAUUAAUGUAAGAAGCAUUAACUUAUUGUGUGACAACCAAAUCACUCUAUAUUAGUUACAAAGUCAGAAGACAUUACCCAUAUAUGUGGCCAGUAGUGUAAGAGAAAUCAACCAACUCAUUCCUAAUGUAAACAUAAAAUAUGUGACAACUAAAGAUGUUCCAGCAUAUCUCCUAACUCAGGGAAUAAAUAUAGAUGAGCUAAAUCAGUCCUCUCUGUGGUGGCAAAGACCCUCAUGGCUGGCCCACAAAAAUGAGUGGCCAAAAGUGCAAAUUAACAUGACUCAACCUACUGAGACAAAUAAUUCUAAAUACAGUCACAACACCAGCUAAAUUAUUGGAAUACAGCAAAUAUAACUAGAGAUAAAAAAUAUUAGCCUAAAACUCCUUUAUUAACAGAAAGUGUUGAAGUCUUUCAAGAUCCAGUUCCUCCCAUGACUUCUGGCACCUAGCCAGAAACAUCUCCAAUAACUUUGCUUCUUCAUCUUUCCCUCCUUUAUUUCAACCUGAUGGCACCAUUGCCAUCUCAUCUAUUUCUAAAGCUGAACUCUUUACUCAAACCUUUGCUAAAAACACUACCUUCAAUAAUUCAGGGCUUGUUCCUCCCUUUCCUCCAUCCUCUGACUACUUCAUGUUACUUAUUAAAAUUCUUUGUAAUGAUGUUUUCCAUACUCUCGCUGACCUAAACCCUCGGAAGGCUUAUGAACCUGAUGGGGUCCCUCUUAUUGCUCUCCGAAACUGUACCUCCAUGCUUGCACCUUGCCUAGUCAAACUCUCUCAAGUUUGUCUGUCAACACCUACCUUCCCUUCUUCCUGGAAGUUUACUUACAUUCAGCUUGUUCCUAAAAAGGGUGACCAUUCUGAUCCCUUAAACUACUGUGUUAUUGCUUUAAUUUCGUGUCUAUCUAAAGUUUUUUAAUAUAUCCUCAACAGGAAGAUUCUUAAACUUAUAUCACCUCACAACCUUCUAUCUGAUUGCCAGUAUGGUUCCAUCAAGGCCACUCUGCUGGUGAUCUGGCUUUCCUUACUAAGUCUUGGUCAUCCUCAAAACUUUUGCUGUUGCCUUAGACAUAACAAAGGCUUUUGAUAGAACCUGGCACAAAGCUUUGAUUUCUAAACUAUCCUCCUAUGGGUUCUAUCUUUCUCUCAGUGGCUUUAUCUCAAGUUUCCUUUUUGACUGUUCUAUUGCUGCUGUGGUAGACAGUUACUGUUCUAAAAUCUAUUAACAGUGGUUUUCCUCAGGGUUCUGUUCUGUUACCCACUCUCUUCCUAUUAUUCAUCAAUGAUCUUCUAAAACAAAUUUCUUGUACUAUCCACUCCUACGCUGAUGAUACCACCCUGCACUUUUUCACGUCUUUUCAUAGACAUCCAACCUUUCAAGAAAUAAACAGUUCACACAGGGAAGCCACAAAAUGCCUGACUUCUGAUCUCACUAAAAUUUCUGAUUGGGACAGAGCAAACUUAGUAUUAUUCAAUGCCUCAAAAACUCAAUUCCUCCAUCUAUCAACUUGAAACAGCCUUCCAGACAACUAUCCACUCUCCUUCAAUGACAUUCAACUGCUCCCCCUCUUCUACACUGAACAUCCUCAGUCUGUCCCUUACUUAUAAUCUAAACUGGAAACUUCACAUCUCAUCUCUAGCUAAAACAGCUUCUGUGAAGUUAGGUGUUCUGAGUUGUCUCUGCCAGUUUUUCUUCCCUCCCCCCCACCUCACCCCUGCUGCUAACUCUGUACAGGGGCCUUAUCUGUCCAUGUAUGGAGUAUGCUUUACAUGUAUGGGGGGGUUCCACUCAUACUGCUCUUUUAGAUGGGGUGAAAUCAAAAGCUUUUCAUCUUAUCAACUCUCCUCUAACUGACUGUCUUCAGCCUCUUUCUCAUCACCGCAGUGUUGCAUCACUUGCUAUCUUUAUUGCUAUUUUCAUGCCAACUGCUCUUCUAUUCUUGCUAAUUGCAUGCCUUCCCUCCUCCUACUGCCUCACUGCAUAAGUCUUUCUUCUUUCUCUCACCCCUAUUCUAUCCACCUCUCUAAUGCAAAAGUUAACCAAUAUUCUCUAUCAUUCAUCCCUUUCUCUGGUAAACUCUGAACUCCCUGCCUCCUGUAUUUCCAUCUUCCUAUGAUUUGAACUCUUUCAAGAGACUGGUUUCAAGACACAUAUCCUGCAUUUUUUAUUAAUGCUUUUGACUCUGUAAAGGGACUGGCACCUCACUGGGCCUUUCUUUUUUGUUGCAAUUUUUGUUGCCCUUGGUUGGUGUCCCUCCUACAUAAAAAAAAAAAAAAAAGGAAAAUGGGUACUUCAUUAUAUAGAUAACUCCAAGGCUAAGUCAAAGGGUUUGGCUAUAUCAAUACUGCCUAAUCAUUAAGGUGGGAGAAGUAGAGGCAGCAGAACAUAAAUUAAUUAAAUUAAUACAAAAGGAAGAAUUUUUUAAAUACACCUUGUUCAUAAGAAAGGCUGAUAGAUUAUCAUAUACAAACAUAAUACUCUAUGGGUUGUACCUAGAAAAUGACAUCAUAAAAUGUGGUGGGAGAAUACAACUAGCUAAUGUGCCUGAGUCAACCAAACAUCCUAUUUUGCUACCUGGAUAUCACCACAUGACCAACCUACUAAUACAAAGAUGUCAUGAACAAAACUACCAUUAUAGCACCAACUUUAUCAUGGCUUAUAUGAGGCAGAAGUGAUUAGAAAAUGUAAGACAUGCCAGAAAUGUAAAGGCAAACCAUUCUCUCCUGCAGAUGCACUUCUACUUCCACAAUUUAGAACAUAAGUGAACCCUUUAGCAUAACAGGACUGGAUUUUACUAGUGCUCUAAAGGUUAAAGGAGAGGCUAGUCAGGUUGCCAGGGCAUAUAUCAUUCUGUUCACCUGUGCCACUACCAGGGCCAUCCAUUUAGAACUGGUAUCUGAUUUAACAAAUCAAAACUUUAUGAAUGCCUUUAGAUGAUUUACAAGUAGACAGGGUCUACCACAACUUAUAUUAAGUAAUAAUGCAACAACAUUUGUUAUGGCUGCCAAUUAGCCAUGUCAAGGAAAUUAUGGAAGAUCCUCGUGUAAAUAGCCAUUUAACAUCAGUCAACUGUGAAUGAAAAUUUAUUACAGCUUAAGCCCCCUGGUUUGGUUUCAUAUGGGAGAGGUUAAUAGGGAGUGUAAAAACUGAAUUAAGGAAAGUCUUUUGUCACAUUUGAUGAACUAUCAUAUGAGAAUUAAGAUCCACUAUAAAUGAUAGACCCUUAACUUAUGUAAGCAGUGAUAUCAGUGAACUCAUAUUAGAAUUAAGAUCCGCUAUAAAUGAUAGACCCUUAACUUAUGUAAGCAGUGAUAUCAGUGAACUCAAUGCCAUAACCCCUUCACAGUUAUUAAGAGACAAAAGAUUGAAAUCUUUUCCUAAUCAGCUUUCAUUAGAAGAAAUAUCUGACCCAUCUUAGGGUUCUUCACAAAAUUUAAAGGAGACUCAAUUAUAAAAAUAAAUUUAUAAAUGAUAUAUGGAAAAAGGUGGGUCUCAGAGUCCCAUAGGUGCAUAGUUCCCAAAGAAGGCAUGAUAUGGCCACAAGCCAGGGACGUCAUCCUCAUUCAUGAUGAUGGGCUGUGGUUCUGGUGAAGACUUGGUAAAAUCACUGGCCUACAUGAAGGACAGGACGGGUUAGUAAGGGCAGUGUAUGUAAAGACCUCCUCAGGCACAACCACUUGCCCCAUUGCCAGAUUGUAUUCACUCAAACAAAGUCUGGUGGAUGUAGCACCCUCCACUGAUAAUAUCCAGCAGCAGGGGUCUGUCUGUAACCAGUGACCCCUGCAACAAAUGGCGGCAUGCUCUGCAGACUUAUGGAAAUAAAAAUUGAAACCAGCCAAAUUUAAUGUCAAGUUUACCCCAUGUAAAUAUUUAUGAUAUAAAUUAUUUCUCUUGGUGGUGGGAGUAUGUUGGAACUAUUGUUCGUGGUGAUGGUCAUAACAAUCUCAAUCUCAAUAAAAAUGUAUGAACCAAUGAGGAUCCAGGUUGGGUGGAUUCACACUUCUUGAACACCUCGCACUUGCUCUCUCUCUCUCUCUCUCUCUCUCUCUCUCUCUCUCUCUCUCUCUCUCUCUCUCUCUCUCUCUCUCUCUCUCUCUCUCUCUCUCUCUCUCUCUCUCUCUCUCUCUCUCUCUCUCUCUCUCUCUCUCUCUCUCUCUCUCUCUCUCUCUCUCUCUCUCUCUCAGCUUAGUUACAUUCAAUGAGUGAUUGCAGUGACACUCUUGCUCUCACUCAAGCUCUUACACUCCUGCUCCUGUUCAAGAUAGUUAUAUCUCAGCUUGCAACUGGAGCACUUCGCCACUUAUCUUCACUCAGCAUAUCACUACUCCAGACAGACAUUCUACUCAGACAUUACAACUAAAUACUCUAUUAGUGGCAGGGCUGUGCUGGUAUAGGUGCUUAGCUCAGUGUAUGUCUGUCUAAUACCAAGAAAACAUCUGGCAUUAGCCUUUGUAUGCUGAUUCUCCAAAAAAUUAUGCAGUACAAUCUAAAUAUAUUCAUUGUCACUGUCUUGGCAGGAAACUGCAAGUGACUGACUGACUGUCAGCUGAUUUGAUACUAGCCUCUCUUCCCUGUCCCUUCCUGGGAAGGCAUGGCCUAAUGUAGCACAUCAUUUUAUUUGUCAUCACUUACAACUAUACUAUCCUUGUGUAAUGUUUACCAGUAAAUCAGCUGUCCAUUAAUAUUGCUAAUCUCAUUAUGGAAUGCUGUAGUGAUCCAAAACUUAUAGAAAUCAUGAUUGAAUAAUUAACAAUUUUACUCAUGGAUAUCCCACAUCUACACAUCCUGCCAUGGCCUCUUCUAGCCAUUGUUGUCCACCUACAUUACACUACACUACAAAAUGCACAUGUGCAUAGAACAUUUUCAAUUUGAAAUAACUUGUACUUUCAUCUCUAGCAAUAUCCACAGAAACUCAAUGUUACACCCUGUUUAGGUUGAAAUUAUUGUUUUUUAAACAGUAUAGCUUUUAUGAUCCAUAACUGUAUCACUCUGAAUCUGAAGAAUAUCAUUAAGGCAUUAUACAUAACAUUAUGUAAGUUAGAAGUAAUAUUAUAUCCUCACUGCAUAUUUAUCAUGGAAAUAAGAAAUAUGUUGCCUUCUGAUAUUACAUUUGAUUGAAUUUCUACCAUUACUAAUAUGGCAUCUAUUGUGUGCUUCCUGCUACAACAUGCUGCCUCCCCUUGGCAGUGUUCACAUGAUGUCUUGUUGUUACUGUGAUUGGCACCUGUUGGCUAAGAGGGAAUGUUUCAAGUGCUAUGGUUGGAUAAUGAUAAAUGUCAACAAACACAAAAGUGCUAUCUGUCAGCUGUAGAGCAAAAUCAUGGUAGAGUUUGCAAGUUAAAAAUUGGUGGAUUUAUGAAACAUUAGCGAAUCAAUUAGGAGAGAGUUUUAUUGACUUCUUAUCUUUCUAUACUUGGAACUUUGUAACAUGGGACUGUUAGUAAAUGCUGGACCAGGUGUAAACAAACCAUCUUCUUUACCUCCAAUUCACUUUACCAUGACUAACUUAAACAUUUCACUCCCCCACAAUUCAUCAUUUCCUUCAGUUGUCCACUUCUCCCAAUUUACUUCUUUACAGUUGAAGUCACCCAUGAUGGUCUGGAUUUCACAGUGGUUUAUCAGUUUCUCCAUAUCUGAUAAUGUUUCUUUUUAAAUUUCCUUGUGUUCUUCAGUGUUCCACGACCUUGUCCUUGGGGUACAUACAUCACUGCAAAGUUCCUUGUGGCUUUACCCUCAUUCCAAAUCCCCACUUUAAUCAAUUCAUCAUUAUUGCUUCCAUAAACUACUUCAUUAACAUGUGGGUCUUUCUUGGUUAAAAUCAUAAUAUCUCCUUAUUUGUUUGUCCUCAACUUUUCCAAUUAUAUUUUCAGUCACCUAUGUUUAAACACUCAAUGGAUUUAUCCAGUUUUAUAUAUGUUAGCCUGAUGAUAUCAGGUUCAUUUGUUUUGGAGUACUUGUUUAACUCAGUAUUUGCUGUCAUCAGCCCAUUUUCAUUUUUAAUUUCUGCCUCCCUCCACCUUUGUUUUUUAUGUACCAUUUUCUUAUUUCAUACCCAUCACUUUCCAGUACAAUUUUUUUUUUUCUCUGCCUCUGAUCUUUCCUCAUUUUUUUGCUUUUGCCUCAGACCACGGUUCAUUCACUUUUGCUCUUUCCUCCUCAUUAAGGUCUUUCUUUAUCCAGGUGUUUCUGUACUUCUCCAUUUUUUUUUUCCAACCUAUUUGCCUCUGCCAGGGUUUCUUCAGCAUCUAUCAGUGAUUUAAACAUUAUUUUUAAUGGCCAUGUUUUUUCUUGCACAUAUUUUCCCAAUCUUUGGAAUUCUUCAUUUUCAUUUUCUAAGUUACUACCAUUACUCUUAAUUUCCCUUACUAUCUUUGCAAUAUUAAUUCUCUCCAUCCUUUCUCUCUCAAAUGUGUGUGGUAAUUUAUCCUCUCAUCUCAAAGACUAGUACACAUUUCUUCUUGUCUACAGUCUCCCUUACCAGGUUCUCAUUUUCUUUGAUUACCAUAACAGUUGACUCCCUUACCUUUUCUUUCAAUGUUCUUGACAAUGUCUCUGAAAUUUUCUUACACCACUUCCUUCUCAUUUUUUCAUUUGUCAUGUCUUUCUUCCAUCUUCUUUACCCCCUCUGAACUGACUUUCACUUUAACAUUUAUUUCCUUAAGAAUUACAUCAUGACUGUUACACUUAACCUUCAGUGCGGCAUUCUCUUUCUUUAGUUUUUCCAAUCUCACUUUCAUCUCGCUGUAUACCUUUAGAACAAUAUCAUAUUUUUCACACUUCUUUCUCAGGUCAUUAUUGUCUUUGAAUAAUUUGUCCUGUUUUUCCAAAAUUCCAGCAACAACUUUCUCAUUGCUCUUAACUCCUUCUCAACAUUAACAAUCUUUCUCACAUUUGUUCUCUUUCUUCCUUAAAUCCCGAGAAAACCCUCAUUCCACUCAACUUGCCAAGUUGCCUUAACCCCAGAGGUCUUUCUAUAGAAAUACCUCUAGCUUGUGGAGUUGGAGUACAAGUAGAUAAGGGUUUUUUUACAUUACCUUCAUCCAUGGUGCCAUGGUUGAGAUCUUCUCUAUCCACUUCCCACCACAACAAACAUAUUUACAGGAUAAUUUUGAGACAAGACACACACUAGCAGCUUCCCUUCCCUUUGUGCACAUAUCUAGGCAUCUUUGAUGAAAGCGGUAGUCAGCAACCCACUCAUUGUGUGUGUGUGUGUGUGUGUGUGUGUGUGUGUGUGUGUGUGUGUGUGUGUGUGUGUGUGUGUGUGUGUGUGUGUGUGUAUACACGUUUUUUUCAUUCAUCAAAGACUAUAUAAUCCUUUGUAUAAUCACUGUGCAUUCACAUGCUUUCCCUACUACUACACUAAAAAAAAAAGAUGUGUGAGGUGACUGAGUCUGUGUAUGUUUCUGUCAAAAGGGAGAGAGCUACAUAGAAUAGCCACCACAAAAAAAGUAAGGCUGUUAUUCAACUUUUUUGCACAAGACAGUAGAACAGUCUUUUCAGACCAAAGUAAGACAAUGUGUGAUUUCUAUAUCAGUAGUCUCCACAAAUCCAUGGAUUUAUGAAUCUGAUACUAUGUUCAGUGAACAGGUGCAUAAUUACCCAUAUAUAACCUUGAUUAUAUGAAUUUUGCAAUUGGUGAACCUGUGGUUGAGAAGGGAAUAGUGAAAUGAAGAUAUCCCAUCUGCUUCAUUCAUAUUUUAUGAGAUUAUUAAGUUCCAGUGAGAUGAGUUAUCAGUCCUUUACAUGCUCAUUUCAAUCACUGCUUAUGACUCAACUCAUGGAAAGAUGAAAAUCUAUGCUCAAAAUCUCCAUGACAAGAACAUCAUCUUUCAUACCUUCCAAAGCUUUAUAUCAUGUGGAAAAAUGCAAAUGAAACUUUAUUUCUUCAGUGAAUAUAAUCUAAAGAGGCAUAGCUCACAAGAAAACCACUUUCAGCAGGGGAAACUAAUUUGAGUUCUAUAGAGCUGGCCCACAUAGUACAUCAGUGAUAGUGAUCCUGCUGCCUUUGUGCAUUAUAUGCCUAUUAUAAGUCAGAAUUAUAUAUAUGUGCAUUCUGCCAAGAGAUGAUUUAUCCAUGAUAACUGAAAGCUUUAGGGUGGAGACACUUACCAUGUUUUGAGUUUAGUAAUGGUGCUAGGAUGACAUCAUCUUUGUUUUCUACUAUAGACACACACUUGUCACAAUAGUGAACAUACUUGCAGUGUAAGCUCUUUGCUUUCAGAUAGCAAACAUCAUAUUCAUGUUGUCUUCAGUUCAGAAGGCUUCAGGGUGAAGACAUUAGUAUUAGUCUACUGAAGGUACCCAGAAUGCUAUAUAGUUGCUGCUAUCAGGUUGAAACAAUCUUGUGAUAAAUUCAACUGGUAGUAGCUGUAUUUUCUGUAAUAGCUCCAUUAAUACAUUCUGGUUACUGUUGCCAUCAAAAGUAGUCCAACAGGUAACUAAGUCAAGGAUGAAAAUUGUUUAGUAACUGUAUAAAAUUCUUGUUUGAAGUUUGAGUAUGUAAAUGUGUACAUUAUUUUUAUGAACUUUGCACAAAGUAGAGAAACACUAGCAUUAGUUGGUCAAGAGGAAUGAAUGUUUUGCUGAGAAAGUGUGAUAUUUUGAAUUUUUAAAUGUAUAUAACAAAACUUAUAAUUAGAUAGGUAGAGUAAAUGGAUAGGCAGGUGUGUGGAUUGGGCAGGAAUAUGUGACAUAAUUAAGGUGCAUUCUUAUUUUUGUGAGUAAUGAGCAGUGUGUGGCUUGACGUUAUGAGAUUAUGAUCAUGAAGAUUUGGUGUGUCAGGAAGAUUCUUCAGAGGGAUCCCAGUACUGUAUUCUGUGUAAGAUUAAUUUUUCUUUUCAUGUAUUAUUUUAUGAUGAAUUGAUAAGAAUGUGUGCAUUCUGCAGACCAAGCAACAGUUGUGUGUUAAUCUUACAAAUACAUGUAACAACAGCAUAAACAUCUGCUGUGUUCACAAUCAUUUCAGUACAUUUCCAGCUGGCCCUUCCUACUGAGGCUGUUGAUUACUGCUAUACCCCAUUUUGGGUAUGACAUUUGAUUGAUUAUGAUAAUAUAAAAAAUUCUUGUCAAAAGAAAGAUGGAUUUGAUGUAGAUAUGUAGUGAAGAAAUAGAUUGUUUUGGCAUUU